AUCAGAAGCUUAUUGAUCUCAUCGAGGUGCUAGCUUUCUUGCAGAGAUUGUAUCUUGACGGUUAAAAAUCUUCUUUUUUCUCAAGACACUCUUAGAGAAGAAAAAGAUAGGAGGAUAUUGAUCUCUACGCUAGUGAUCAUGAGAAGAACCCUUUCUUCUCUUUUUUUUCUAAAAUUCAUACACUAAAUCUCUACACUAGAGAUGUAGGAAUUUUGUCUAAUUUUUGGAUAAAGAGAGGAGGAAAAAUCCAUAUCCAAACAUGGACAAAAGAGAGAGAAUAAGACCUAACAACCAACCUUUGGUUGUUGGUAAGAAAGAAGGGAU
Molecule: long non-coding RNA, 324 nt
Filed under: Elaeis guineensis (African oil palm)
Lineage: Eukaryota; Viridiplantae; Streptophyta; Magnoliopsida; Arecales; Arecaceae
Description: long non-coding RNA (EGUI_LNC072674)
Source: RNAcentral